Molecule: long non-coding RNA, 1263 nt
Organism: Nomia melanderi (Alkali bee)
Lineage: Eukaryota; Metazoa; Arthropoda; Insecta; Hymenoptera; Halictidae
Source: RefSeq, a predicted model, not a curated record
CUGUUUCCCCGCGCAUCAAAAGUGCAAUUUGCAUUCCGAUGGAUGAAAGAAGCGUCGACGGGAUUGCUUGCCACAGGACACAGUGUGGCGAGUAUGGGCGAAUCAUGCAGCUCGUUUAUAGCCGCCUGAGAGAAGAUGAGACGAUCGCGUAAGUUGCGCGCGAAUAGAUACCUUGUAUAGAUCAUGAUGGACAUAAACAAGACGAUGAUGAAAAAACACUACGGCUGCGUGUUCAAGGAACCGUGAAACGAUACCGACGAAAAUUUUAUGGUAUGGCGAACAUGAGAGAGGAAUCAAUAAAAUUUUAUUCGUGCAAUAAGUCACCGAUAAAAAGAGUCUGAGUAAAAUCGUAAUCAGUGAUUGGAUCUGUAAUCAAGUAUUAUAGAAACUAUUCUUUGGAAAGCGGUUACCAAGGAAAUAAUGACCAUCUCCGGAGCUUGAAGGCGACAGAGGCCAACCUCUCACUGAUCUCUACGUUUGAUUGAUUGAUGUGAUGAUACGCUAAGUGAUCUGACACAAGAACCGUUUCCAACGUCUCAUACUGGGUGUUUAUUACGACAGGAUGAAAAUUUAUGAACCUAAAUUAUUAAGAAUAUUUUAACAAUUAGAAUUAUAACAACAUUAUUAAUACCCAAACAAAUUGCGUAAAGUUAUUGUUUAAAUAUGCAACUACAAAAAAAUUAUAAAAGGAAGUAAAAGUGAAGAUUAAGUGGAAACGAUAUAUAGCAUUCCUUGUACACUUUUUUUCCUAGAGGAGCAAAGUGUUUAACCAUCAUCAUAACACAUUAAAUUUGUAUCACGAUUAAAAACAUUUGAGACUCGAUAUAUAAUAUAGUUAUGUAAUGCCCGAUGCAGAUGCGCAGUGCAAUAUCCUUGUAAUUACUCAACACGUUUGGUCACUCGAAUCACUGGAAUUUUUACGAUACCCACACGCAACAUUUCAUCAUACUCAUGCAAAUUGAAGUUGUCUUAUACCGGUCAUUUCACUUAAAUAUUAGCUAAAUAAAAUCGUCAAUUUCGCCAACUUAAUAUUUGGGAAUUAAGAUUACUGCUCGACUCUAACAAAGUUGCAAAUAAAUCCAUAUAUUUAUCCAAUUUCAUACAGAUAACAGUGUAUUACUCUUUAUCAUUUAUUAUUUUACGACACAUAAAGAGAACUGAUGACCUUUAUCUUGUUCUUUCAGCUACGUAAGUGAAAUUUCAUUAAUUACAAUAAAGUAUAAUUCUCUUAAUUGAGUGCCUCAGAAUAAUAUUGGUCUAACU